RNAcentral lists this unclassified non-coding RNA (415 nucleotides) under uncultured Basidiomycota. Its description in RNAcentral is "sequence contains ITS2". The stretch from base 1 to 155 matches the Rfam family "5.8S ribosomal RNA". The record is from RNAcentral. Lineage: Eukaryota; Fungi; Basidiomycota.
AACUUUUAGCAACGGAUCACUUGGCUCUCGCAUCGAUGAAGAACGCAGCGAAACGCGAAAUGUAAUGUGAAUUGCAGAACCUCCCUGAAUCAUCGAAUCUUUGAACGCAUCUUGCGCUCGAUGGUAUUCCGUCGAGCAUGUCUGUUUGAGUGUCGUCAACCUCUCAAAACUUGGGUUUUAGUACCGGAAGUUUUGGACCUUGGGUCGCCGGUGGGUUCAUUUCUACCGACCCGGAAGUCAGUAAUACGGUCGCCAUCAUUAUCGCACCGGGUGUUGUAGGGUUCUCAUCAAACCUCGCUCGGGUCGGGAUCUUGAUCGACCUUUUAAUUCGAACUGAUACUUCGAUGAUAAUUCUUUUGACCUCAAAUCAGGCAGGAUUACCCGCUGAACUUAAGCAUAUCAAUAAGCGGAGGCU